This 329-nucleotide ribosomal RNA is filed under the name Acanthamoeba genotype T3. RNAcentral's name for it is "bacterial SSU rRNA". It matches the Rfam family "Eukaryotic small subunit ribosomal RNA", at positions 768 to 1096 of the family's 1831-position model. Lineage: Eukaryota; Discosea; Longamoebia; Acanthamoebidae. The record is from RNAcentral.
AUAGUUGUUAAGGCAGGCUAUCUUUUGCCUUGAUAUAUUAGCAUGGGAUAAUGGAAUAGGACUCGGCUCCUGUUUCGUUGGUUUGAGUGGCUGAGUAAUGAUUAAUAGAGACAGUUGGGGGCGUUCAUAUUUAAUUGUCAGAGGUGAAAUUCUUGGAUUUAUGAAAGAUGAACCUAUGCGAAAGCAUUCGCCAAGGAUGUUUUCAUUGAUCAAGAACGAAAGUUAAGGGAUCGAAGACGAUCAGAUACCGUCGUAGUCUUAACUAUAAACGAUGCCGACCAAGGAUUGGGAGACGUUACAUGGAUGACUCCCCUAGCAGCUUGUGAGAA